UGGAGUGCAAUGCAACCUCUGCCUCCCAUUUUCUUUUUUUUUCUUGUCUGUCAAUGUACAUUUUAUAUUUAAAAAGCAAAACAACAAUGGGGUGAGAACAGGAAGCCACUACACAAGUGGCCAAGAGUUCAGAUCCUUGGAGGCCGUCUUUGGAGAUUUACUGGGCUCUCAUUCUGGCAGCAGCACAGACCGCGUGGACAUGGGGCACCGUCCCCACACCUGAGCUUUCACCUACACCCACCUGAGCUGCGGCAAGGACUGACGGGUACACGUGAAAGCAGUCAGCCUGCCCGGCACUCGUUAAAGGAGAGCUCUAAGGAACACAGCACACAGGCCUGAGGCAGCUUUUACCCAUGCUUUUUUAACUUACAUAAUUUAAAAAAAAAUGGCCUUGUCUGAUUUAAAAAAC
Long non-coding RNA from Sapajus apella (tufted capuchin), 409 nucleotides. RefSeq lists it as uncharacterized. Lineage: Eukaryota; Metazoa; Chordata; Mammalia; Primates; Cebidae. The transcript is spliced from 2 exons. The record is from RefSeq and is a predicted model, not a curated record.